This 369-nucleotide long non-coding RNA is filed under the name Linum usitatissimum (flax). RNAcentral's name for it is "long non-coding RNA (LUSI_LNC007631)". Lineage: Eukaryota; Viridiplantae; Streptophyta; Magnoliopsida; Malpighiales; Linaceae. The record is from RNAcentral.
AAAUAUAACAAUGUGGGAAACCAAAUUUUAUAAUUUUUGGAAUUUUAUUUUAUUUAAUACGAUUUUUUAAAUGAAAAAACUUCAAAAAAUCGUAAUAAAAAAAAUACAAGUCCAAACUUUGUCAAACUUGGUAUGAGGGUACCUUAUGAUAUCCCUGAGAUAUAAUGGCAAGCACUUUUGAAUUUGCUCGAGUAGAUUUUAAAAUUUAUCGAGGGUCCAUAUUUUGGAGUGCCAAAAUCGCACACUGGUGCGCAUUUUUGCGCAUCGGGGGCGCCCCUGCUGCGCAUUUUCGCGCAUUUUUGCGCGCGGGUAUGCCCCCUGUGCGCAUUUUCGCGCAUUUUCUCUCAUUUUUGCGCACGGGUGUGCCCC